UACGUGCAUGACUUGCUACUUUGAAGCUGUAAACAAAAUUUUAAGGUGACUCUCACGAAAUUUUACUUGUUUUCUGUCACUUUAUGUUGGUAUUUUAACAGUUUUAAUUUAGGUUUGGUAGCAACCAAUGGAUGUUCUACGCCCAACGCUUAUCAACAUAAACGGCAGAAUAUAUCGAAGAAACAUAGUUAAAGAAGAACACUAUGAAGAAGAAGAAGAUUUCUCGUACAUGGGGCCAUCUGAGAGUGAAGCUCUGGAAGAGGAUGAAACCUGUGACAGCCACUUCAUUGAACAAACCGAUAAGGGAUACCGCUGUGCCAUUGAUGUCCCAAGUGUUCUUUACAAAUAUAUCAUUGGGAAAAAAGGAGAAACUCGAAGACGUCUUGAGUUUGACACCAAAGCCUCAAUCAGCAUCCCGAAACAAGGAAUAGAAGGACAAAUCGUUAUCACUGCUGCCCAAAAAGCUGCAGUUUCCUCUGCGGUCACUCGAGUAGAAGUCCUUGUGGAGAGUUUCCGAAAGAAACAGCCCUUCACUCACUUUCUGUCUUUGCCUUUGAAUGACUCCAAAGUUCAAGAAGGAUUCCAGACAUUUAAAGAUGAGGUGUUGCGACAAUGUUCACAGGAUCAUGGAGUGGACGAAAGCAUCUUUCAAAACCCUGCAAAGCUUCAUUUGACAAUUGGCACUCUGGCUCUGUUAAAUGACACAGAAGUGAGAAAAGCAUGUGCACACCUCCAAGAAUGCCAAAGUUUUAUCAGGGACAUCACUGAAGGAAAGGCUCUGCCGUUGGAAGUGACCGGUAUAGAGUACAUGAAUGAUGAUCCAGCCAUGGUGGACGUCUUAUAUGCCAAAGUCAGUGUUAAAGAUGGAUCUGACAGGUUGCAGAUGAUUGCAGACCGGCUGGUGGAGCAUUUUGUCUCUGUGGGGCUGAUGGUCAGGGAGUGGGACAGAGUGAAGCUGCACGGUACUGUCAUGAACACACUGUUCAGAAAGGACACCACAGUUGAGAACAGGGGUGGAGCAGGAAAACCAGCCACAAGUGAAAGAGAGGCUUUUGAUGCCAGGAGCAUAUUAAAGAAAUUUGGUAAUUACGGUUUUGGAGAGUUUGAGCUGAACACUGUCCAGCUGUCACAGAGGUACUCAACAGACUGUACCGGAUACUACUCAUCUGCUGGGAGCAUAAGCUUCUCGUGACCUUUAUCCCAGCUGAGGCGUAAUAUUCUGAGUCACAGUGAUUUGAAAAAUGUCUUUGCUGGACACAGCAGGACAGAAAAUGAUGAUGAGCAAGUCCCAACAGAUCCAAGCAACAAUGAAAACAUGCAGCCAAACCGUUUGCUUCCCUGCAUUGCAUUCCCUUCUGUAAUCAUCUGCUGUUUACCAAGAAUUCUUGAAGACAUCCUCAGAGCUCUUUCAUUGUGUGACAAUAUGAGCGGCUGUGAUAAGCUGCGCAGCUCAUCAGGACUCUUUAGACUCAUAUGUGUUGUUUACAUUUGUAAUACGACGGGAAUAUUUCCAGAUAAGAAAGCCUUCAAAUUGUGCUGCGUACCGCCUUGUCUGAUGUUAAUAAAAAAAAAUAUUUUCCCAGCUUCUGCUGCUUCUGUGAAAACUCAAUUAGGUGGACUGGGUUUAUUAAUGUGCAUGAGUUUGGGGAGAUGAACUGGCAUCAAGUCAAUCUCUUUAUUCUUGGAGUCUGACAAACAUGACUCCUAUCUGCAGAUGUAAACCAUGCAGUGCUUUCAUGACUAAAAUAAAAAGCAGCCGCAGUUCUUGUUUU
Molecule: RNA transcript, 1772 nt
Organism: Xiphophorus hellerii (green swordtail)
Lineage: Eukaryota; Metazoa; Chordata; Actinopteri; Cyprinodontiformes; Poeciliidae
Gene: ascc1
Gene name: activating signal cointegrator 1 complex subunit 1
Exons: 11
Source: RefSeq, a predicted model, not a curated record